CCUACGGGGAGCUGCAGUGGGGAAUAUUGGACAAUGGGCGAAAGCCUGAUCCAGCCAUGCCGCGUGUGUGAAGAAGGCCUUCGGGUUGUAAAGCACUUUCAGUGGGGAAGAAAGCCUUGGGGCUAAUACCCUCGAGGAAGGACAUCACCCACAGAAGAAGCACCGGCUAACUCCGUGCCAGCAGCCGCGGUAAUACGGAGGGUGCGAGCGAUAAUCGGAAUUACUGGGCGUAAAGCGCGCGUAGGCGGUCUGAUAAGCCGGUUGUGAAAGCCCCGGGCUCAACCUGGGAACGGCAUCCGGAACUGUCAGGCUAGAGUGCAGGAGAGGAAGGUAGAAUUCCCGGUGUAGCGGUGAAAUGCGUAGAGAUCGGGAGGAAUACCAGUGGCGAAGGCGGCCUUCUGGACUGACACUGACGCUGAGGUGCGAAAGCGUGGGUAGCAAACAGGAUUAGAUACCCGAGUAGUC
RNAcentral lists this ribosomal RNA (465 nucleotides) under Vreelandella stevensii. Its description in RNAcentral is "partial 16S ribosomal RNA". It matches the Rfam family "Bacterial small subunit ribosomal RNA", at positions 338 to 795 of the family's 1533-position model. Lineage: Bacteria; Pseudomonadati; Pseudomonadota; Gammaproteobacteria; Oceanospirillales; Halomonadaceae. The record is from RNAcentral.